Nerophis lumbriciformis (worm pipefish) is the source of this 222-nucleotide long non-coding RNA. RefSeq lists it as uncharacterized. NCBI's taxonomy places the organism in Eukaryota, Metazoa, Chordata, Actinopteri, Syngnathiformes, Syngnathidae. The record is from RefSeq and is a predicted model, not a curated record.
ACAAAGGAAAGGGACAGUGAGAUGAGUGACCAGGAAGUGAAGAAGAAGAAAACAGGGAAAGGGAAAAGAACCAAGCAAACGCUAGUGAGACCAGUGAGCAUUGAGCAGGAAGAGAACCAACAAGAAGGGGCAGGAGUACACUGACGCGCACGACCAAGACCACAGCAUUCCAUUUCUAUUGUAUUAUAAUUAUCACUAAUAAAGAAUUAUUGUUGAAUUUUC